CGCCUCACCUCGGGGUGCCUUCAGUGGCUGAGAUGCGCAAGCGGACCCGUUGAACCUGAACCGGUUAAGACCGGCGGAGGGAAGGUAUGGAAGUCUCCA
This 99-nucleotide non-coding RNA is filed under the name Paracoccaceae bacterium. Its description in RNAcentral is "Rhodobacteraceae bacterium TPP sequence". It matches the Rfam family "TPP riboswitch aptamer (THI element)". Rfam says of the family: Vitamin B(1) in its active form thiamin pyrophosphate (TPP) is an essential coenzyme that is synthesised by coupling of pyrimidine and thiazole moieties in bacteria. The previously detected thiamin-regulatory element, thi box was extended, resulting in a new, highly conserved RNA secondary structure, the THI element, which is widely distributed in eubacteria and also occurs in some archaea. Analysis of operon structures identified a large number of new candidate thiamin-regulated genes, mostly transporters, in various prokaryotic organisms. The record is from RNAcentral. Lineage: Bacteria; Pseudomonadati; Pseudomonadota; Alphaproteobacteria; Rhodobacterales; Paracoccaceae.